GUACUGCUGAAGAGUCCCAAACUACAACGAAACAGCUGUCCAGUAC
Molecule: non-coding RNA, 46 nt
Filed under: Trichobilharzia regenti
Lineage: Eukaryota; Metazoa; Platyhelminthes; Trematoda; Strigeidida; Schistosomatidae
Source: RNAcentral